Molecule: ribosomal RNA, 498 nt
Filed under: Triticum aestivum (bread wheat)
Lineage: Eukaryota; Viridiplantae; Streptophyta; Magnoliopsida; Poales; Poaceae
Description: partial small subunit ribosomal RNA
Source: RNAcentral
GUAGAUCUGUAGGUGCUACUUUUGAACAUGUAUUCGACGUUCAGCGGUAACGACACGUCCAGUCGUAAAUAAUACAUUUUUUUAGAUAUCUAUAAAUCCCUUUAAAAUAAAAUUCAUCCAUCCUACGAUAUAGGUACUUCAAGGUUCGUGCUUACCCGGGUGGUUCAUUAACACUCGGUGUGACUUGAACCUGUUCCUACAUACUCGACGUGGUCCCUUCGGCUUUAGUUAGGUGACUGUCCAGUAAUUGGCGGUCAAUGCUGAAACAACAGGGGCCUGUGCUGUACCAACGAGGGACUAUGUUGUAAUAACAAGGGUCAAUGGUAUAACAAGGACGGUCUAUGUCAUAACAACAAGGGUCAAUGCUGUACCAACGACAGUUGAUACUGUAACGACGAGGGUCUACACUGACACAACAACGAGGGUCUUUGUAAUAACAACAGGGGUCUAUGUUGUCACAACGGCAAGGGUCUAUGUUAUAACUUCCUUUAUACGGGA